This 440-nucleotide ribosomal RNA is filed under the name uncultured bacterium. RNAcentral describes it as "partial 16S ribosomal RNA". It matches the Rfam family "Bacterial small subunit ribosomal RNA", at positions 338 to 795 of the family's 1533-position model. The record is from RNAcentral.
CCUACGGGAGGCAGCAGUGGGGAAUAUUGCGCAAUGGGGGCAACCCUGACGCAGCAACGCCGCGUGAUUGAAGAAGGCCUUCGGGUUGUAAAGAUCUUUAAUCGGGGACGAAUUUUGACGGUACCCGAAGAAUAAGCUCCGGCUAACUACGUGCCAGCAGCCGCGGUAAUACGUAGGGAGCAAGCGUUAUCCGGAUUUAUUGGGUUUAAAGGGUGCGCAGGCGGUCUGUUAAGUCAGCGGUCAAAGCCCGGGGCUCAACCCCGGCCCGCCGUUGAAACUGGCAGUCUCGAGUUGGAGAGAAGUAUGCGGAAUGCGCGGUGUAGCGGUGAAAUGCAUAGAUAUCGCGCAGAACUCCGAUUGCGAAGGCAGCAUGCCGGCUCCACACUGACGCUGAGGCACGAAAGCGUGGGUAUCGAACAGGAUUAGAUACCCCAGUAGUC